AACGAACGCUGGCGGCAUGCCUAAUACAUGCAAGUCGAACGAUCACUUCGGUGGUAGUGGCGCACGGGUGCGUAACGCGUGGGAAUCUGCCCUUGGGUUCGGAAUACCGUCGGGAAACUGACGCUAAUACCGGAUGAUGACGUAAGUCCAAAGAUUUAUCGACCGGGGAUGAGCCCGCGUAGGAUUAGCUAGUUGGUGGGGUAAAGGCCUACCAAGGCGACGAUCCUUAGCUGGUCUGAGAGGAUGAUCAGCCACACUGGGACUGAGACACGGCCCAGACUCCUACGGGAGGCAGCAGUAGGGAAUAUUGGACAAUGGGGGCAACCCUGAUCCAGCAAUGCCGCGUGAGUGAUGAAGGCCUUAGGGUUGUAAAGCUCUUUUACCCGGGAUGAUAAUGACAGUACCGGGAGAAUAAGCCCCGGCUAACUCCGUGCCAGCCGCCGCGGUAA
This 449-nucleotide ribosomal RNA is filed under the name uncultured bacterium. RNAcentral describes it as "partial 16S ribosomal RNA". It matches the Rfam family "Bacterial small subunit ribosomal RNA", at positions 29 to 523 of the family's 1533-position model. The record is from RNAcentral.